This 235-nucleotide ribosomal RNA is filed under the name Isochrysis galbana. RNAcentral describes it as "partial Bacterial small subunit ribosomal RNA". It matches the Rfam family "Bacterial small subunit ribosomal RNA", at positions 543 to 777 of the family's 1533-position model. The record is from RNAcentral. Lineage: Eukaryota; Haptophyta; Isochrysidales; Isochrysidaceae.
GUUCGGAAUUACUGGGCGUAAAGAGAGCGUAGGUGGCGAUUCAAGUCAGAUGUGAAAGCCCGGGGCUUAACCCCGGAACUGCAUUUGAUACUGGGUUGCUAGAGUGCGAUAGAGGAAAGUGGAAUUCCCGGUGUAGGGGUGAAAUCCGUAGAUAUCGGGAGGAAUACCAAUUGCGAAGGCAACUUUCUGGUUCGUAACUGACACUGAGGCUCGAAAGCGUGGGUAGCAAACAGGA